Molecule: ribosomal RNA, 429 nt
Filed under: Verrucomicrobiota bacterium
Lineage: Bacteria; Pseudomonadati; Verrucomicrobiota
Description: Verrucomicrobia bacterium partial 16S ribosomal RNA
Rfam family: Bacterial small subunit ribosomal RNA
Source: RNAcentral
UAGGGAAUCUUCCGCAAUGGACGAAAGUCUGACGGAGCAACGCCGCGUGAGUGAAGAAGGAUUUCGGUUCGUAAAACUCUGUUGUUAGGGAAGAAAAAAUGUAUAGUAACUAUAUACAAAAGAGACGGUACCUAACCAGAAAGCCACGGCUAACUACGUGCCAGCAGCCGCGGUAAUACGUAGGUGGCAAGCGUUGUCCGGAAUUAUUGGGCGUAAAGCGCGCGCAGGUGGUUUAGAAAGUCUGAUGUGAAAGCCCACGGCUCAACCGUGGAGGGUCAUUGGAAACUAAUAAACUUGAGUGAAGGAGAGAAAAGUGGAAUUCCUGGUGUAGCGGUGAAAUGCGUAGAGAUUAGGAGGAACACCGGUGGCGAAGGCGGCUCUCUGGUCUGUAACUGACGCUGAGGCUCGAAAGCGUGGGGAGCGAACAGG